RNAcentral lists this ribosomal RNA (433 nucleotides) under uncultured bacterium. RNAcentral describes it as "partial 16S ribosomal RNA". It matches the Rfam family "Bacterial small subunit ribosomal RNA", at positions 29 to 507 of the family's 1533-position model. The record is from RNAcentral.
AACGAACGCUGGCGGCAUGCCUAACACAUGCAAGUCGAACGAGACCUUCGGGUCUAGUGGCGCACGGGUGCGUAACGCGUGGGAACCUGCCCUUAGGUUCGGAAUAACUCCCCGAAAGGGGUGCUAAUACCGGAUAAUGUCUUCGGACCAAAGAUUUAUCGCCUUUGGAUGGGCCCGCGUUGGAUUAGCUAGUUGGUAGGGUAAAAGCCUACCAAGGCGACGAUCCAUAGCUGGUUUGAGAGGAUGAUCAGCCACACUGGGACUGAGACACGGCCCAGACUCCUACGGGAAGCAGCAGUGGGGAAUAUUGGACAGUGGGCGAAAGCCUGAUCCAGCAAUGCCGCGUGAGUGAUGAAGUCCUUAGGGUUGUAAAGCUCUUUUACCCGGGAUGAUAAUGACAGUACCGGGAGAAUAAGCUCCGGCUAACUCCGUG